UACGAAGGGGACUAGCGUUGUUCGGAAUCACUGGGCGUAAAGCGCACGUAGGCGGAUUCGUAAGUCAGGGGUGAAAUCCCGGGGCUCAACCUCGGAACUGCCUUUGAUACUGCGGGUCUUGAGUCCGAUAGAGGUGGGUGGAAUUCCUAGUGUAGAGGUGAAAUUCGUAGAUAUUAGGAAGAACACCGGUGGCGAAGGCGGCUCACUGGUCCGGUACUGACGCUGAGGCGCGAAAGCGUGGGGAGCAAACAGG
Molecule: ribosomal RNA, 253 nt
Filed under: uncultured bacterium
Lineage: Bacteria
Description: partial 16S ribosomal RNA
Rfam family: Bacterial small subunit ribosomal RNA
Source: RNAcentral